AUAGUGCUGCAAUGAACAUAUGCAUGCAUAUGUCUUUUUGGUAGAAUGCUUUAUUUUCCUUUGGGUAUAUACCUUGUAAAGGGAUUUACUGGGUCGAAUGGUGGUUCUAAGUUCUUUGAGAAAUCUCCAAACUGCUUUGUACAGUGGCUGAACUAAUUUACAUUACCACCAACAGUGUGUAUGUGUUCCCUUUUCUCCACCGCCUUAACUAGCAUCUGUUAUUUUUGCCUAUGUCGUAAUUUAGUUCACAGAGAUCUUGAUUGCUUUUCCCUUCCAUAAGAUAUCAAACUGGUCCAUCACAUUGAUGAUAUUGUGCUAAUUGGAACUAGUGGGUGAGAAGUAGCAAUUACUUUAGGCUUAGCAGUAAGACUUCUUUUGUGCCAGGAGGUGGGAAAUAAAUCUGACAAAAAUUCAGGGGCCUUCUACAUUAGUAAAAUCUCUAGGGGUUCAGUGGUGUGGGGUCAAGAUAUCCCUUCUAAAAUGAAGGAUAAGUUACUGCAUUUGGCUCCUCCUGCAACCAGAAAAUAGGCACAAUGCCUUGUAGACCAUUUUGAAUUUUAGAGGCAACAUAUUCCUUAUUUGGGUAUGUUACUCUGGCCCAUUUACCCAGUGACCCCAAAAGCUACUUGUUUUGAGUAGGACCCAGAAUAAGAGAAGGCUCCGCAACAGGUCCAGGCUGCUAUGUAAGCUGCCCUGCCGUUUGGGCCAUAUGAUCCAGUGGAUCUAAUGGUGCUUGAAGGGUCAGUGACAGAUAGGGAUGCUGUUUGGAGACUUUGGUAGAUCUCUAUAGGUGAAUCACCAUGCAGGCAUAGGGUUUUGGAGCAAAGUCCUGUCACCCUCCACAGAUAACUACUCUCUUAUUGAGAAACAGCUCCUGACCUGCUACUGGGCCUUAGAGGCUAAAUGCUUAAUGAUGGGCCACCAAGUUACCAUGUGACCUGAGGUGUUCAUCACAAACUGGUUGCUGUCUGACCCACUGAGCCAUAAAGUUGGACACACACAGCAGAGCACUUAUUAUCAAAUAGAUGUGGUAUAUAUGUGAUUGGACCUGAGCAGGCCCCUAAUAAACAGUAAGGUACAUGAAGAAGUGGUCUAAAUGCCCAUGGUCCCCUCUCCUGUUACAUUGCCUUCUCUCUCCUAGCCUGCACUUAAGGCCUCAUGGGCAGUUACCUACAAUUAGUUAACAGAGGAAGAGAAGACUCAGGCCUAGUGUACAGAUGGUUCUGUAUAAUAUGCAGGCAACACCUGAAAGUAGACAGCUGCAGCACUAUGCCCUUGUUUGGGUUAUCAAUGAAGGAUAGUGGUGAAGGGAAAGCCUACCAGUGAGCAGAACUUUGAGCGGUGCACAUGGUUGUUCACUUUGACUGAAAGGAAUUGUCCAGAUGUGUAAUUAUAUAUUGAUUAUUGGGCUGUGGCCAAUGAUGUGGCUCUAUGGUUGGGGACUUGGAAGGAACAUAAUUGGGAAAUUGAUGACAAGGAUAUUUUGGGAAGAGGUCUGUGGGUAGUCCUCUCUGAAUGAAAAACUAAAUGAAGAUAUUUGUGUCCUGUAUGAAUGUUCAACAAUAGCUGACCCUAGCAGAGGAAAAUUUUAAUAAUCAAAUGGAGAGGGUGACCCAUUCUGUGAAUACCAGUUAGCGUCUUUCUCCAACCACCCAUGUCAUCACUCAGUGGGAUCAUUAACAAAGUGGCUAUGGAGGCAGGGAUGGAAGUUAUACAUGGGCUUAGCAACAUGGAUUGCUACACACCAAGGCUGACAUGCCUAUGGCCAUGGCUGUGUGCCUAAUCUGCCAUCAGCUGUGAUGAACACUAAAUCCCUGAUAUGGCAGCAUUGCCCAAGGUGAUCAGCUAGGUACCUGAUGACAGAUUCUUUACACUGGACAGCUUCCAUAAUGGAAGAAGCAGUUUUUCUUCUUACUGAAAUAGUCACUUACUCUGGAUAUGGAUUUGCCUUCCAUGAGUGUCAUGCUUCUGCCAAAACUACCAUCUGUGGACUUACACAAUGCUCUGUCCACUGUCCUAUAUUUUACACAGCAUUGCUUCUGAUCAAGCAACUCACUUCACAGCAAAAAAGUGCGGCAAUGGGCCCAUGCUUAUGGAAUUCACUAAUCUUACCAUGUUUUGCACCAUCCUGAAGCACCUGGCUUGAUAGACCUGAGGAAUGGUCUUUUGAAGCUUAGUUACGUUGGCAACUAGGUGGUGAUAUCUUGCAGGACUGGGAUAAGGUCCUCCACAAAGCUGUACAUGCUUUGAAUCAGCACCCAAUAUAUGGUGGUGUUUCUCCCAUAGCCAGGAUUCAAGGGUUCAGUAAUAAAGGGGUGAAAAUGGGAGUGACACUAUUACUAAUUACCCCUAGUGAUCUACUAGUAAAACUUUGUUUCCUGUUCCUAUGACUUCAUGCUCUGCUGGUUGAAGGUCUUAGUUCCAAUGAGGGGACCCCUUUCACUAGGAGACAAAACAGUGAUUCCAUUGAACUGUAAGUUAAGACUGCUUCCCAGCCACUUUAGGCUCCUCAUUCCUCUGAAUCUACAGGCAAAGAAGAGUUGUGGUGCUGGCUGGGGUGACUGAUCCUGACUAUUAAGGAGGAAUUGGACUACUACUUUACAAUGGAGACUUGAACUGAAACAUCAGCUUUUCCUUGUCUUGGGCCUACUGGCCUUCAGACUGGAAAUCCAUCAUCCACUCUCCUGGGUAUUCUGCAGAUUUUGAGACUUGUCAUCCUCCAUGAUUAGAAAUCAAUAGCCCCAGGAGGUUAUCUACACCAGCCUACUGCCUACAGCAUCAGUGGGAGCUUAUUUGGCAUUUGAUACCAAUUCCAGAAGAGGAUAUGAAUCCCUGAGUGCAUUUCCCAAUGGCACACACUUGCUUCUUGUUUUCUUGUAAGUAUCCUAUUGUUAAUGGCCCAUUAUACCAGAAACAAAAAUGUCUAUAUAUGCAUUUUCAUUUGGUCUAUCAUUGUUUCCAAUGGUCUGGAUUAUUUGAUUAGUCUCAAUCCAGUUUUCUUUGAGGGAAUAUGGAGACACAAGGGUUGUCUGUUUUUAGUGCUAAAACAUUAAAACUUAGGGCUCUUUCUUAUGGCUAUAGCCUUGAAGAUGCACUCCUUAGCUCCAUAACAUUUUUCGUGUCCUUUUUUUUUCCUUUUCCCUUUCCUUUUCCUUUUUCCUUUUUCCUUUCCUUUUCCCUUUCCCUUUCCUUUCCUUUCCUUUCCUUUCUUGUUGUCAGGACUGCAACACACUCUCAAUUCAGUCUUCCUGAGUGCAACUGAUACUAUUUUACAGAUGUGGCAUGGUUAUCAUUUUCUAACUUUAGCUUUGCUAAUCUGGCAUUUUCUAACUUUAGUUUUGUUAAUUCAGGCUGUUCCUUCUCACUUAAAAAUAUUUCCUCUUAUUUGAAUUUGAGUAUGCUGCCACCAAGUGGUUGCCAGUUCUUUGAUUAACAUGGUCUCAUAAUUCAAACUGCAGGCUGCACUGUUUCUAUUGCUGUUGUUGGUGUAUGUGUCAGGAUUGGGAUAGUGAAUGCCUAUGAAUAGUUGAAGGUAUCAGGUAUUAGGGGAAGUUAGGGUCAAUCUUCACGAAACAGCAGGAAGAUAUUGAAAAAUAAAAAUGGCCUGUAACUUGAGGAGGGGAGAGGAAGGACAGUAUCUGUCCAAAGAAUGAGAUCAGGAAUAGAGGAAUUGUGGAGUAGAGGGAACAGGGAAAUAAUAGGAAAAAGGGAAAAUGAUCCAGAGUUAAGAGAACUUGAUCACUGAAACAAUUUUCAUCUUUUGUUUCUGUAGUUUUCUAUGGUUCUUGUACUUACUGGGGACUACAAAUAGCAAGAUAGAUGUAUUAUCUUGAGCAGGAUUCUGUCCUGUAUAUCUUUGUAUCCCUCACAGUGUCUAGUGUAGUGCUGGGCACAUAGUUUGUUCUUAAUAUAAAGGUCUGAAUGAAUGACCCAAACCUGCAAGAGUUGAGACAAUAUAUAAUGGAGGCAAGGGGUGCUGGCUUGAGGCACAGGAGCAGCCCCUAAUGAGCAAGGCUUGACAGUGUCUUGCCUCUAUCAAGGUGAUGCCUUGCACAACUUUAGCUGGCUCCUAUGAUCAAUCUUCCAAAUUAGAACCUUCUCCAAAUCUUCUCAGGAAGGUACUUACAUGCCUCCUCCUUCCUCCUCCACUACUUUCUCCACUCCUUUCUCUUCUCCCUCCUCCUCUGCUUCCUCUACUCCCUCCUUUUCUUCCUCCUCUUCCUCUUUCUCCCCUUCCAAGGCUCUUGAUGUCUUCAUACCUCUGAACAAGUCUGGGUGGUUGGAAAAAGAUGAUCUCUGGAAGCUUUUGAUUGGAGGAUGAGAGAUCUAUGGUUCUUUCAAUUCAUAAGAUGUAGAGGGCUUUCAAAAAAUGCAUAUGAAAAUUGGGGGUUGUUCUAUGUAAGAUGUUUGCUGAAAUUAAUACCCUAGACACAGUCUCCAGAAAGGGGUUUACUCCUGCAUGGUAACAUGCAUGCUAUGUUAUCUUUGGCCUUGGAUCUCAAUCUUUACCCAGAUAUUAUAAUUCAUGAAUAUCUGGUGGAAGUGUCCUGUGUGCACUUCCCCUAAUGCAGAAAGGAAAUCCUUGAAAUCCUUGAAGACGAUAGUCUUAGUAAGCAAGUAUGACCUUAGUCACUUGUUUACUUGCUUUAGUAAGACCUAUUUGGCACCAUAAACAUCCAUAUAUCUAACACAGAAUUUCCCAGUCAGGGUUCCACGUGGAGCAGUAUAGCAUAGUGGAUAAGUGUGAGGGCUUGGGACUACUGACUGCUCAAAUUUUACCUCUGUUGUUUGAUGUUGGGAAAGUCACUCAAUCUCUCUCUGUGCUUCGGUUUACUAACCUGUAAAAAAGGGCAAUAUAAAUUACCUUACAUUGAUGUUAUGAAGGUUAGGUUAAAUGACAAAACACUUGUAGUGUGCUUAAACACAGUGCUUAGCAUAUAAUAACUAUACAAUUAUUGGUAGUUAUUACGUAAAUUUCUUCCUAGAACAUAAACUUUGGCAAGUGAUGGCCCUGGAUAGUGUCUCUCUUACUAUCAUGUCCUUGCCCUCAGCUUCUGAGGCUUAUGAAGAUUCUCUGGGCACAGAGACUCAGGCUGUCUCCUGGCCCACAGAGUGUGGAACAAGUGGGAGCUUGUAAGCUAAGUAGGAUGUCAUUUUGAGUCACCACUGCUCUAAUUUCUUUAGACAUUUCUGAAGAACAAUUGGAUUCCCUUCAGUUUUAAUUUCCCUACCUUCUCAGAUAAAUUUUCCAAAUGUCCACUUCCCAUUUCUUCGAUCAAAGCCAGAGUUGAAGGAAGCUGGCCUUCAAUCUCCAACCAGGCUGAGAGCACCAUUUGAGCUCAAGAGCAAAUUGUAUUGGAAAAGAAGCAGAACCACUGACUGAAAUGAAUUGUCAUUAAAUGAGGCUUUAAAUGAAACCACAAGGCAGAGCCUUGUCCUAAUUGGCAGUGGAGUUAAUUGGGUAAGAGGCCAAUUCCAGAUGUCCCAUUGCAGAACUUUUAAAACUUGCUCCCUGCUUCUCUUACUUCUUGCCCAAAACUUGCUCCCUGCUUCUCUUACUUCCUGCCCCUGACUGCCUUUGAAAGAUGAUGAUCAUUGGGCAAAGAUAGCACUUAGCUAUUUAACAUCUUUUAAAAAUCUAUAAUCUACAAAUUGAGUGCAGGAAUAGAAAAUGUCAGAACCAUGAUACAAUUCGAAAUGUUUCAUGUGGUAGGGUGGAUAAUGGUGUCCCAAAUACGUACAUGUUCUAAUCCAUGGACUGUGAAUAUGUUACUUUACAUGCAAAAUAAACUUUGCCUAUGCAAAUAAGAUAAGAAUCUUGAUACAGAAGGAUUAUCCCAGAUUAUCCAGGUAGGCUCGAUGUAAUCACAAGGGUCCUAAUGAGAGAGAUGAGGAAAGAGUCAGAGGCAGAGGAGCAGAUAUGAUGACAGAAGCAGAGAUUAGAGUGAUGAUGUGGAAGGUGGAGGAAGGGGCCAAAAGCCAAGGAAUACAGGCGGCCACUGGAAGCUGAAAGAGACAAGUAAAUGGAUUUUCCCUUCUGAGCCUCUAGAAGGAACUAGCCCUGCCUGCACCACAACUUUAACCCAGUGAGACCCAUUUCAGUCUACUGACCUCCAGAACCAUAAGAGAAUACAUUUGUGUUGUUUUAAGCCAACUCUCUCCCAAAUACUCCCAGAUAUGCUGUAGAGCCAGAAAUGUCCCAAAUUAGAAGUAUUGCUUUGGAUGAUAUCAAUGAAGGACACAAUUGUUUUUAACAAUUGUGGAAGCUUUUAAAACUUCCACUGAAAUGCAAAGGGAAAUGUGUUAGGCAACAUUCAGCCUGUUAUGCCUUUUUCUGACUGGCUAGCAGAGAGCACGGAAGAGGACACAAGAUGCAGGGAUUUCUGGGCCUUGGGGCAUGAAAUUGAUGGGUGGGAUCUGUGUGGCUGCAUCCAGCAAGUGAUACCUGGGAUGAGAGGAUGCCACAAGGGACAGAGCCUGAAAACAAAAUCCCAUUUAUCACACUUCUUGAGUUUUCAUCCAGUGAAAAACUCAGUACUUCGGAUGUGAGCAUCACCUAUGUCACUAAUCCACCUUCAAGCCUGUUCCAUAAAGCUCCUGGUGAGCUUAAAGAAAGAACUUUUUGCACUUGUCUAGACUUACAAACUCUCUGACUUGAGACUGACUUCUCUUUGGUCUACCCUUGUAGUAUUUGGUCUCCUUUUGGUAUUCCAAUAUCCGCCAACUUCUACUGUCUAUUUUGGACUCCUGGUCUCCUCUAACUUCAGCUCUUUGGGCUGCCUGCCAGGCACAUUUCUCUUCUUUCUUACAGCCUUGAGUUUCCUCCUUCCAAGAAUUCUUUGCCCUAAUCUGUAAACCAUUGCCACCCAGCCCCUGGCACCAAAGCCACCAUUAGACCCUGAUUAGGAGACCUCUCAGAUUCUUUAUGAGAUGACCCUGAGAGACAAUUAUCCUCUACACUGCACACUUUCCAGGGUAUUUUGGCCUUUAUAAUAAGAAAGAGCAGAUUUACAGAUGAAGGAUCUUCAAUCCCAAAACCUGCUCUCUGUGUCUGCAAUGAAUAUACUCCAUCACUUGCUUUUCCAUACCUCUGAUCUCACUCCCAGAGCACUGCAACAAAAGUCCAGAAAAGUGAGGGUCUUUGAACCCAUUAGCAGCUCCACAAGCCCCAUAUCCACUUGUAGUUUGAUGAAAAUGAGAAGCAUGGAUCUGAUCAGUUGGGCCUUUAUAGAUGCAUGUCAGAUCUACAUGAGUAAUAUGAUCUUCGAGCAACCCAGAAAGGAGAGAUUUUCUGUUUCUUAAGUCCCUUGCCUCAGAGUCAAUACAGUCAAUACCAUCCAAGAAAGGAUCUGUAGCCUAGGAUAUAUAACAGAUUCACUUAUUAUGAUAUCAGGAUGCCUGAGGCAAAUCCAUCCAAAUAUGAGUGCUGGCUUCUUAGGAACUGGACAAGUGAGCUCAGGUACUGUAAAGGAGCACCUAUGACUUGUUUUCCAGGUCUAAGUUGCACAAUCACAAGAGCCCAAGAAUGUCAAAUAAUCCACAUCAAAUUCUCAAAUAGCAAGACAUGAUAUGUUCUCAAUUCCCAGGCCAUGUUUGUUAUUAAAUGAUGUUCUAGCCCUUUGACAAUACCUGCUGUUAGAACCAGGGCUUGGGUGGUGGUGGAACAGGCCACAGUGUGAAUAGACAAGACCUGGGAAUUCAGGAAGUUUUCCUUGGUCAGGAGAAGCCUGUGGCUGGGACAAGUAUGAUGUGGUUUGGAUGUUUGUCACCUCGAAAUCUCAUUUUGAAACGUAAUUUCCAAUGUUGGAGGUGGGGCCUGAUGGGAGGUGAUUGAAUCAUGGGGGAAGCUCCCUCAUGAACAGCUUAGCACCAUCCACUUGGUGAUAAGUGAGUUCUUGCUCAGUUAGUUUGCAUGAGAUCUGAUUGUUUAAAAGAGUCUGGGACUUCCCCCCUCUCUCUCUCUCUCCUGCUCUCACCAUGUGACAUACCUUGCCUGCUCCUGCUUUACUUUCCACCAUGAUUGUAAGCUUCCUGAGGCCCUCACCAGAAGCCAAGCAGAUGUUGAUGCCACGCUUGUACAUCCCACAGAACUGUGAGCCAAUUAAACUUCUUUUUUUUAUAAAUUACCCAGUCUCAGGUAUUCCUUUAUAGUAACAUAAAAAUGGACUAACACAAAGAUUUAAUUCCAAGGUUUAAUGAUUUGAUUAUUACAGGGUUGAGUACAUGGUGGUUUGACUCCAAAAGUAGGUUCAGAAUCAUAUCAGACCUAAGAGGGAUAAGAGCAGGUAAAAUGUGAGAAUAAGUAUCCCCGGUGACAAACUGAACCAAGAACCUGGCUAUUGGCCAAGCAGGAGUGAGGCAGUUGACCAAUGGCCAUCUAAGUAGUUGGCAAUUGCCAAAGUUCAUUCAGAUUAGCAGCUGGUGAAUUAUCAAGGAAUGAUGGAAGUGGGUAUUAGGGAUUCAGUUCCAGAUUCAGGCUAGGAAACAGAUUUUUUGUGUGUAGGAAAUCUAGUUCCAGUACUAGGAUACCAGGCAAGGAAUUAGACACUGGGGAUGAAAGACAUGGAAGGGCUCCGAUUAUGAAGGUAUAUAUUUUCUGUGUCAGUAGAAAAAUAUGACUCAGUGCUGUGUUGCUGAAUUAUUUUCUUCAAACUCUUCCUGAUUAGUGGCCUCUUCCAGUCUAUUAUUCACAAUAUAGCCAGAGUGAGCUUUUCAACACUCUAAGCUGAUCGCAUUGUUUUAAUUGCUCUUAGGAUAAAGACCAGAUGCGUUAUUAAUCUCUAGAAGGUUCUGCAUGGUUUGGCUCUCGCCUGCCUUUUUAGCCUCAUCUCCCACCAUUUCUCCUUUCACUCUUGGCACUCUAGCUGCACUGGUUUUCUGUGAAAUCCUCAGGUCUCUACUGUCUCUCAGAGCUGUUGCACAUUGUAAUUCCUUCUGCUCAGAGUGUAUGUUACCCCUUUUUUCAUUCUUCCAGUCUCAAUUUAAAUGUCACAACAUCAGGAAGGUCUUCUCUGAUUUGUCUAAAGAAAUGACCCCUUAUUCUUUAUAAUGCUUCUACUGACCAUCAUCAUUUACACUUACAAGUCACACCCACUAACCUUGCCUACCGUGACCAGCGAGCUCACCACCUCCUGUGCACCACUUUCAUCGGCGUUACCUCUCCAAUAUCCUGAUCAUUUCAUCACUAUUCCCCACUGUCAUGCAUAUCACCACACCCUCUAGCUCCAUCCAUCACCACCAACCUCAUCCACCCCUUCUAUAACCCAUGCUCCGCUUUGGCCCAUCUCUCUACCAGUGCUGAUUAGCCACACUCAAAAGCCCCACACAUUACCAUCAGCCACGCCAUCCUUUGCCCAUCAAACAGUUCCAAACACUAGCAGCCCUACCUCACCACCCCUCCUAAUGAGCACGGGUCCUCCUGCUUACGGUUCAGACAUCAGCCAGCUUCAGUAAUGUCUUCUUUGACCAUUCAGUCUGGAUAAGGUUUCCUUGUUUUCACUUCUCAUAGCCCCCUCCCUGCCCUUCUUCUUCACAGUUCUGAUCACAAUGCUAAUCAUGCAGUACUUUAGGUGGUUGUGCUUAGUGGUUGUCACCCUCACAGGUUUAUGUCUAUUUAUUCAUUGCUAUUUUCCUUGUACCUAGACACACAGUAUAUCUAAAAAAACUUUGCUGAAUCUUGUUGUAUCAAGUUACAGAUUAAAAAGCCCAAAGCUCUAAUCAGCUAAAUAAUGUACUCAGGGUUGCAUGUCUAAUAAGUGCCAGAGGUGGGAUUCAAACCCAGGUCUGGCUGACUAUAAAUCCUGUGGGUUCUUAACCAUUAUAUCAAUGGUUUUUGCCAGUCCAGCAGUGUCAGUUCAUUUGGGAACUCAUUAGAAAUGCAAAUUCUCAGGUACUGCCUCAGACUUACUGAAUCAGAAACCCUGCAGGUGAGGCCCAGCACUUUGUGUUUUAACAGGUCCUCCAGGUGAUUCUGAGGCCCAAUCAAGUGUGAGAACCACUGCUGUACAUGACAUUUCCCAUCAUAUGGUUUCCACUUGGUAAAAGAUCCAUGUUGUUCUCGGUCUAUGCAAAUAGCCCCAAUGCUACCUAGUAUGGGGCUCAGUAUAUGAUAGGUCUUUAAUAAGUAUGUGUUGAAUAAGUGAAUUGAGCUCUUGGGUACAUUAGGUUUUGAAAGACAUGAGUAGGGUUUCUUUUUUUUUUUUUAUCAAAACCACAGAGGGACAGUGAAAAUACCAUAGAAAGCCUAAUAUAAGGGACAUGACACUUGCCUGGAGAAAAGUUUUCAAAAUGAAAUUAUUUAUUACCUUCUUUCAAACUCCUCCUUUCAGGUCAAUCUUUUCUAUGAAAAGAUUGUCUCUGACCCCUAUGGUUCAUAUUGAUAGCCCUCUUAUUUGGCUUCUUUGCAGCAUUUAGUGUAUCACUUAAGCUAUGCUUGGAUUAUAUGUGAUGCAUUUUUUGAGUGUCUCAGAUAUAUAAGUCAUAGUCUCCAUAAUGAAACUAUAUUCUCUUUAGCACAUGGACUGUGUCUUUUCUUUUGCCUCUUCUAGUUUCUACCAUGGCCUUAAUAUAUAGUAAGAUGUUGGGAUAAUGUUUUAAUAAAUUAUCCUGUGUGUGUUUGUGUGUCUGUGUGUGUGCUUAUACCUAGCCCUUUCAAUAGUCAGCAAACACAUUCAUCACCUAAGAGAAAGGCUGUUAUAAUAGAAAAGCAGAAGACCAAAAAAAAGUAAAUUCGUAGCCUUUGAGUUUUAAAAGCCUAUUUCGAUUUUCAGGAACUGGAGCUUUCGAGCUUCAAAGGCCCAAGUCCUAAAGAACCCAGAAGAUGCACUUCAUGACAUACACACUAGAUUUGAAAGGAUACGGGAUAAGUUAAAGCCUGUUUUCCUCUUCCCCAAACUAGAUGAAGAUUCUAUCAGAUAUGAGAAAAGUGAGAAUUAGAACAAAAGAGUGAGUCCUUAGUGAGUCCUUUAACAGAGGUGCUGUAACAUGAUGUUGUGGACCAAGACCCAAAUUGAAAAAAUAUUAAUAAUACAACCCUCAAUGGGGCAUGUGAGUAGAGAAAUCUGAGAGCAGAUAAGACUGUUCCUUGCCUCUCCCCCACAUAGAGGUUUUUGAGCAGUUCCCCUGAACCUAGCCUGACACCAGAGCAGUAGUGUCGACUGCACAUAUUAUAUGUCAGAAGACAGGCCUUGAGACCACCUCACAAUUCCCUAGACUCUGG
Molecule: non-coding RNA, 11218 nt
Organism: Chlorocebus sabaeus (green monkey)
Lineage: Eukaryota; Metazoa; Chordata; Mammalia; Primates; Cercopithecidae
Source: RefSeq, a predicted model, not a curated record